GACGAACGCUGGCGGCGCGCCUAACACAUGCAAGUCGAACGAGCGAGCGAGAGCUUGCUUUCUCGAGCGAGUGGCGAACGGGUGAGUAACGCGUGAGGAACCUGCCUCAAAGAGGGGGACAACAGUUGGAAACGACUGCUAAUACCGCAUAAGCCCACGGGUCGGCAUCGACCAGAGGGAAAAGGAGCAAUCCGCUUUGAGAUGGCCUCGCGUCCGAUUAGCUAGUUGGUGAGGUAAUGGCCCACCAAGGCGACGAUCGGUAGCCGGACUGAGAGGUUGAACGGCCACAUUGGGACUGAGACACGGCCCAGACUCCUACGGGAGGCAGCAGUGGGGAAUAUUGCACAAUGGGGGAAACCCUGAUGCAGCGACGCCGCGUGGAGGAAGAAGGUCUUCGGAUUGUAAACUCCUGUUGUUGGGGAAGAUAAUGACGGUACCCAACAAGGAAGUGACGGCUAACUACGUG
Molecule: ribosomal RNA, 466 nt
Filed under: uncultured bacterium
Lineage: Bacteria
Description: partial 16S ribosomal RNA
Rfam family: Bacterial small subunit ribosomal RNA
Source: RNAcentral